UAAUCGUUCAGUAGUAAGCUCAUCUAUUGUUUCUUUUGUUACCUGGUGUUCUCUGGAGUCAGAGACUUUUAAACAUUCAAGCAAGACAGGUGGUUUGCAGCAUUGCAAGUUUUAUAGUUGAUCAAGUUCUGCACGGCACAGUUAUUAACAGCACAGGUUAUCAAUGAUGUAGCACAACCAGCAUCAUUAUUCAAACGACCUGACCCACAGUCGGGUCGUUAUAGAGAUAUAUAUUUGUGUGCGAAUGUUUUUAUAAACAUCGGGAUCUUCACAUCCCUCCAGGUGAUCCCUGAAUAAAGACCUUAAACCCCA
Molecule: long non-coding RNA, 312 nt
Organism: Gigantopelta aegis
Lineage: Eukaryota; Metazoa; Mollusca; Gastropoda; Neomphalida; Peltospiridae
Exons: 3
Source: RefSeq, a predicted model, not a curated record